AAGUCGUAACAAGGUUUCCGUAGGUGAACCUGCGGAAGGAUCAUUAUCACGUAUCCACGUUAUCAACCAUUGUGAACUGUUUGACCUCUGAUGUUUUAUAUAAAGGUUAUGUUUGUAAAUGUGAUGAAAGAGUGGAUUUUAGUUUGAGAGAAAGGUUAUGAGAGAGAGAAAGUGAGUGCGGCUCAAUUCUCUCUGUUUUCUUUUCGAUCACUAAUUUCCCCACAAACAUGGCUGGAACAUCAGAGUGUAUUUUACUCUUUCAUUCAAUUCAUUCACCUUUUGAACCAUAUUUCUAUUAAACUUCAUUGAACUGAUAUAAAUUUCUUACUCUUUCUCUUCGAAAGAGAAGAAAUUCAUUACGAAAACAAAAGAACAACUCUUAGCAACGGAUAUCUUGGUUCUC
This 403-nucleotide unclassified non-coding RNA is filed under the name fungal sp. Its description in RNAcentral is "partial internal transcribed spacer region". The stretch from base 1 to 46 matches the Rfam family "Eukaryotic small subunit ribosomal RNA", at positions 1786 to 1831 of the family's 1831-position model. Lineage: Eukaryota; Fungi. The record is from RNAcentral.